RNAcentral lists this ribosomal RNA (497 nucleotides) under uncultured bacterium. RNAcentral's name for it is "partial 16S ribosomal RNA". It matches the Rfam family "Bacterial small subunit ribosomal RNA", at positions 28 to 507 of the family's 1533-position model. The record is from RNAcentral.
GACGAACGCUGGCGGCGUGCCUAAUACAUGCAAGUUGAGCGCUGAAGGUUGGUACUUGUACCGACUGGAUGAGCAGCGAACGGGUGAGUAACGCGUGGGGAAUCUGCCUUUGAGCGGGGGACAACAUUUGGAAACGAAUGCUAAUACCGCAUAAAAACUUUAAACACAAGUUUUAAGUUUGAAAGAUGCCAUUGCAUCACUCAAAGAUGAUCCCGCGUUGUAUUAGCUAGUUGGUGAGGUAAAGGCUCACCAAGGCGAUGAUACAUAGCCGACCUGAGAGGGGGGUCGGCCCACUCGGGACUGGGACACGGCCCAAACUCCUACGGGAGGCAGCAGUAGGGGAACUUCGGGAAUGGGCGGAAGUCUGACCGGGCAACGCCGGGGGAGUGAAGAAGGUUUUCGGAUCGUAAAACUCUGUUGGUAGGGAAGAACGUUGGUGGGAGUGGAAAGCGCAUGAAGUGACGGUAACUACCCAGAAAGGGACGGCUAACUACGUG